CAAGCAAUGAAUAUGCAUGCCUGAACUUAAUUCUUAGGUUGUAUAACAGCAGCUACUCAGAAAUAGCUAUAAUGUGAAGACUACUUGAAAUCAUAAGGGAUGAUCACCUUCACAGCCCCAUUUCAGAACUUUCUGCACACUUGAGGGGCAGGCUGAAUAAUUUCUUAAUGGGACAAGGCAUCAGUCCUAAAUGUCUCAGAUGCACUAUGGGAUGGGAUGGUACUGGACAGAAGACUAUUACCACCAUGGGAAAGUGGCAGGAGAACUAUGCAAGGAAGAAGGAAGGCAAUGGACUCAAUGAGAGGAAAUAAACUGAAGCUGAAUCCAGAUAAGACUCAGGCAUGCACAUGAGCAAGAGAACCACAUUUGGAGCUUAGGUUUCACUUCUUAACACUGCAGCCGUUCUCACUACCCAUGAAGCUUUCUCCCAAGUGUAUAUGGUCUUUCUUUCGAUGCCAGCAUCAGUGUAUUUUAAACGUGUUGUUUUGAACGUAUCUUAAAUAUGAUGUAUGUUACACAUGCCAUUGUACUGCAGAAAACAAAAGAGGG
Non-coding RNA from Podarcis muralis (Common wall lizard), 549 nucleotides. The record is from RefSeq and is a predicted model, not a curated record. NCBI's taxonomy places the organism in Eukaryota, Metazoa, Chordata, Lepidosauria, Squamata, Lacertidae.